RNAcentral lists this ribosomal RNA (552 nucleotides) under Calliphora vicina (urban bluebottle blowfly). Its description in RNAcentral is "partial 16S ribosomal RNA". It matches the Rfam family "Bacterial large subunit ribosomal RNA", at positions 1797 to 2619 of the family's 2925-position model. The record is from RNAcentral. Lineage: Eukaryota; Metazoa; Arthropoda; Insecta; Diptera; Calliphoridae.
CACCUGUUUAUCAAAAACAUGUCUUUUUGAAUUUUUUUUAAAGUCUAACCUGCCCACUGAAAUUUUUAAAUGGCCGCAGUAUACUAACUGUGCAAAGGUAGCAUAAUCAUUAGUCUUUUAAUUGAAGGCUGGUAUGAAUGGUUGGACGAGAUAUUAACUGUUUCAUAAGAAUUUAUAAUAGAAUUUUAUUUUUUAGUCAAAAAGCUAAAAUAUAUUUAAAAGACGAGAAGACCCUAUAAAUCUUUAUAUUUAGAUUAUUAUAAUUUUAUAGAUUUUUUUUGUUAUAAUAAUUAAUGAUAUUUUAUUGGGGUGAUAUUAAAAUUUAAUAAACUUUUAAUUGUUAAAAUCAUUAAUUUAUGAAUAAUUGAUCCGUUAUUAGCGAUUAAAAAAAUAAGUUACUUUAGGGAUAACAGCGUAAUUUUUUUGGAGAGUUCAUAUCGAUAAAAAAGAUUGCGACCUCGAUGUUGGAUUAAGAUAUAAUUUUAGGUGUAGCCGCUUAAAUUUUAAGUCUGUUCGACUUUUAAAUUCUUACGUGAUCUGAGUUCAGACCGG